GAACCGCAUGGUUCAAGGAUGAAAGACGGUUUCGGCUGUCACUUACAGAUGGACCCGCGGCGCAUUAGCUAGUUGGUGGGGUAAUGGCUCACCAAGGCGACGAUGCGUAGCCGACCUGAGAGGGUGAUCGGCCACACUGGGACUGAGACACGGCCCAGACUCCUACGGGAGGCAGCAGUAGGGAAUCUUCCGCAAUGGACGAAAGUCUGACGGAGCAACGCCGCGUGAGUGAUGAAGGUUUUCGGAUCGUAAAGCUCUGUUGUUAGGGAAGAACAAGUGCGAGAGUAACUGCUCGCACCUUGACGGUACCUAACCAGAAAGCCACGGCUAACUACGUGCCAGCAGCCGCGGUAAUACGUAGGUGGCAAGCGUUGUCCGGAAUUAUUGGGCGUAAAGGGCUCGCAGGCGGUUUCUUAAGUCUGAUGUGAAAGCCCCCGGCUCAACCGGGGAGGGUCAUUGGAAACUGGGAAACUUGAGUGCAGAAGAGGAGAGUGGAAUUCCACGUGUAGCGGUGAAAUGCGUAGAGAUGUGGAGGAACACCAGUGGCGAAGGCGACUCUCUGGUCUGUAACUGACGCUGAGGAGCGAAAGCGUGGGGAGCGAACAGGAUUAGAUACCCUGGUAGUCCACGCCGUAAACGAUGAGUGCUAAGUGUUAAGGGGGUUUCCGCCCCUUAGUGCUGCAGCUAACGCAUUAAGCACUCCGCCUGGGGAGUACGGUCGCAAGACUGAAACUCAAAGGAAUUGACGGGGGCCCGCACAAGCGGUGGAGCAUGUGGUUUAAUUCGAAGCAACGCGAAGAACCUUACCAGGUCUUGACAUCCUCUGACAACCCUAGAGAUAGGGCUUUCCCUUCGGGGACAGAGUGACAGGUGGUGCAUGGUUGUCGUCAGCUCGUGUCGUGAGAUGUUUGGGUUAAGUCCCGCAACGAGCGCAACCCUUGAUCUUAGUUGCCAGCAUUCAGUUGGGCACUCUAAGGUGACUGCCGGUGACAACCCGGA
Molecule: ribosomal RNA, 999 nt
Filed under: Bacillus sp. (in: firmicutes)
Lineage: Bacteria; Bacillati; Bacillota; Bacilli; Caryophanales; Bacillaceae
Description: bacterial SSU rRNA
Rfam family: Bacterial small subunit ribosomal RNA
Source: RNAcentral